AUGUAAAAGGCAAACCCCGUGAAAGCGGAGGGCGCAAAGCUAAAGGGCCUAAGGGCGUUCGCCUAUGGCAGCCAGUUGCCGU
This 82-nucleotide non-coding RNA is filed under the name human gut metagenome. RNAcentral describes it as "Cyclic di-GMP-I riboswitch". It matches the Rfam family "c-di-GMP-I riboswitch aptamer". From Rfam's summary of the family: GEMM was predicted in a large-scale screen for bacterial structured RNA regulatory elements. Genes associated with GEMM are involved in a diverse array of functions, including chemotaxis regulation, signal transduction, secretion and chitin. The record is from RNAcentral. RNAcentral also lists the same sequence under 1 other name.